CCUACGGGAGGCAGCAGUGAGGAAUAUUGGUCAAUGGACGAGAGUCUGAACCAGCCAAGUAGCGUGAAGGAUGACUGCCCUAUGGGUUGUAAACUUCUUUUAUAAAGGAAUAAAACGAGGCACGUGUGCCUUUUUGCAUGUACUUUAUGAAUAAGGAUCGGCUAACCCCGUGCCAGCAGCCGCGGGAAUACGGAGGAUCCGAGCGUUAUCCGGAUUUAUUGGGUUUAAAGGGAGCGGAGAUGGGUCGUUAAGUCCGUUGGGAAAGUUUGCGGCUCAACCGUAAAAUUGCAGUUGAUACUGGCAGUCUUGAGUGCAGAAGAGGUAGGCGGAAUGCGUGGUGUAGCGGUGAAAUGCAUAGAUAUCACGAAGAACCCCGAUUGCGAAGGCAGCUUACUAGACUGUGACUGACGCUGAUGCUCGAAAGUGUGGGUAUCAAACAGGAUUAGAUACCCCGGUAGUC
Molecule: ribosomal RNA, 460 nt
Filed under: uncultured bacterium
Lineage: Bacteria
Description: partial 16S ribosomal RNA
Rfam family: Bacterial small subunit ribosomal RNA
Source: RNAcentral